This 1363-nucleotide ribosomal RNA is filed under the name metagenome. RNAcentral describes it as "bacterial LSU rRNA". It matches the Rfam family "Bacterial large subunit ribosomal RNA", at positions 1551 to 2925 of the family's 2925-position model. The record is from RNAcentral.
UAAGGACAAGCUGUGAUGGGGAGCGAAAUUUAGUAGCGAAGUUCCUGAUGUCACACUGCCAAGAGAAGCUUCUAGUGAGAAAGUAACUGCCCGUACCGCAAACCGACACAGGUAGUUGAGGAGAGAAUCCUAAGGUGUGCGAGAGAACUCUCGUUAAGGAACUCGGCAAAAUGACCCCGUAACUUCGGGAGAAGGGGUGCUGACCGCAAGGUCAGCCGCAGUGAAUAGGCCCAAGCGACUGUUUAUCAAAAACACAGGUCUCUGCAAAAUCGAAAGAUGACGUAUAGGGGCUGACGCCUGCCCGGUGCUGGAAGGUUAAGAGGAGAGGUUAGCGCAAGCGAAGCUUUGAAUUGAAGCCCCAGUAAACGGCGGCCGUAACAAUAACGGUCCUAAGGUAGCGAAAUUCCUUGUCGGGUAAGUUCCGACCCGCACGAAAGGCGUAACGAUUUGGGCACUGUCUCAACGAGAGACUCGGUGAAAUUAUAGUACCAGUGAAGAUGCUGGUUACCCGCGACAGGACGGAAAGACCCCAUGGAGCUUUACUGCAGUUUGAUAUUGCGUGUUUGUAUCACAUGUACAGGAUAGGUAGGAGCCGAAGAUACCGGGACGCCAGUCUCGGAGGAGGCAACGGUGGGAUACUACCCUUGUGAUAUGACCACUCUAACCCGCUGCUCUUAGCGAGCAGGGAGACAGUGUCAGACGGGCAGUUUGACUGGGGCGGUCGCCUCCAAAAAUGUAACGGAGGCGCCCAAAGGUUCCCUCAGAAUGGUUGGAAAUCAUUCGUAGAGUGUAAAGGCAGAAGGGAGCUUGACUGCGAGACCUACAAGUCGAGCAGGGACGAAAGUCGGGCUUAGUGAUCCGGUGGUUCCGCAUGGAAGGGCCAUCGCUCAACGGAUAAAAGCUACCCUGGGGAUAACAUGCUUAUCUCCCCCAAGAGUUCACAUCGACGGGGAGGUUUGGCACCUCGAUGUCGGCUCAUCGCAUCCUGGGGCUGUAGUCGGUCCCAAGGGUUGGGCUGUUCGCCCAUUAAAGCGGUACGCGAGCUGGGUUCAGAACGUCGUGAGACAGUUCGGUCCCUAUCCGUCGCGGGCGUUGGAAAUUUGAGAGGAGCUGUCCUUAGUACGAGAGGACCGGGAUGGACACACCGCUGGUGUACCAGUUGUUCUGCCAAGAGCAUCGCUGGGUAGCUAUGUGUGGACGGGAUAAACGCUGAAAGCAUCUAAGCGUGAAGCCCCCCUCAAGAUGAGAUUUCCCAUCACUUUAAGUGAGUAAGACCCCUGAGAGAUGAUCAGGUAGAUAGGUUGGGAGUGGAAGUACAGCGAUGUAUGGAGCGGACCAAUACUAAUCGGUCGAGGACUUAACC